This 429-nucleotide ribosomal RNA is filed under the name Chloroflexota bacterium. Its description in RNAcentral is "Chloroflexi bacterium partial 16S ribosomal RNA". It matches the Rfam family "Bacterial small subunit ribosomal RNA", at positions 355 to 776 of the family's 1533-position model. The record is from RNAcentral. Lineage: Bacteria; Bacillati; Chloroflexota.
UGGGGAAUAUUGCACAAUGGGCGCAAGCCUGAUGCAGCCAUGCCGCGUGUGUGAAGAAGGCCUUCGGGUUGUAAAGCACUUUCAGCGGGGAGGAAGGCGUUAAGGUUAAUAACCUUGGCGAUUGACGUUACCCGCAGAAGAAGCACCGGCUAACUCCGUGCCAGCAGCCGCGGUAAUACGGAGGGUGCAAGCGUUAAUCGGAAUUACUGGGCGUAAAGCGCACGCAGGCGGUCUGUCAAGUCGGAUGUGAAAUCCCCGGGCUCAACCUGGGAACUGCAUUCGAAACUGGCAGGCUAGAGUCUUGUAGAGGGGGGUAGAAUUCCAGGUGUAGCGGUGAAAUGCGUAGAGAUCUGGAGGAAUACCGGUGGCGAAGGCGGCACCCUGGACAAAGACUGACGCUCAGGUGCGAAAGCGUGGGGAGCAAACAGG